This 497-nucleotide ribosomal RNA is filed under the name uncultured bacterium. RNAcentral describes it as "partial 16S ribosomal RNA". It matches the Rfam family "Bacterial small subunit ribosomal RNA", at positions 28 to 507 of the family's 1533-position model. The record is from RNAcentral.
GACGAACGCUGGCGGCGUGCCUAAUACAUGCAAGUAGAACGCUGAAGAGAGGAGCUUACUCUUCUUGGAUGAGUUGCGCACGGGUGAGUAACGCGUAGGUAACCUGCCUUGUAGCGGGGGAUAACUAUUGGAAACGAUAGCUAAUACCGCAUAACAAUGGAUGACACAUUUCAUUUAUUUGAAAGGGGCAAUUGCUCCACUACAUGAUGGACCUGCGUUGUAUUAGCUAGUAGGUGAGGUAAUGGCUCACCUAGGCGGCGAUACAUAGCCGACCGGAGAGGAAGGAACGCCACACUGGGAGCGAGACACGGCCCAGACUCCCACGGAAAGAGGCAGUAGGGGAACUUCGGUCAUGGGGGCAACCCUUACCGAACAACGCCGCGAGAGGGAAGAAGGUUUUCGGGGCGGAAAGAGCUGUUGUAAGUCGAGAACGGGGGGGAGAAUGGGAAGUUCACACUGUGACGGUAGCUGGCCAAAAAGGGACGGCUAACUACGUG